RNAcentral lists this long non-coding RNA (513 nucleotides) under Solanum tuberosum (potato). RNAcentral's name for it is "long non-coding RNA (STUB_LNC008602)". The record is from RNAcentral. Lineage: Eukaryota; Viridiplantae; Streptophyta; Magnoliopsida; Solanales; Solanaceae.
UUGGAGAAUCUCAAUUGUACCAUGAUGUUAGGUGAGCGUGAUACAGGCCUACAUUUAAAAGCAAUUCGAAAGAAAAAGAAAAUAACAAAAGUGAAGAAGUCAUGAUAAAAUACUAAAGAAAGUAAUAAUUAUACACUAAUUACUUCUAUACAUUAAAUUCGACAUACCUACUAGCCUUAAUUCUAUCUCUAAAAACUCACUAAGUAAUGAUUAUACACUAAUUAAUUAAGAUUAAGCAGAAAAAUAUGUGAAAACUACAUUAUUAUCCCCAAAAGAAGCAGAAUUUGUUUUGCAAAUAUAGCCACUUUGAGAGGAUUGUGAUGAUUUCCCUCCACCUAUUUUUCCUUCUUUUUUAUCCGAACGAAGCACCUUGUUAUUUUUUCCUGUAGUAGCAGCAGAAGCAAUUUUUUUCUCGAGUCUUCGUUGAAUAACAUAUUCUUCGGGAAUAUACACAUCCAUGAUAUCUUUUUGAAAGUGAGAAGCAAAAAUGUUCACUCAAAAAAUGAAUGUAAU